Molecule: long non-coding RNA, 1524 nt
Filed under: Dasypus novemcinctus (nine-banded armadillo)
Lineage: Eukaryota; Metazoa; Chordata; Mammalia; Cingulata; Dasypodidae
Description: lncRNA (ENSDNOG00000049927.1)
Source: RNAcentral
CCGGGGGCCAGGAGGAGUGGGGCACGUGGGGCUUGGGCGCCCCUCCCUUAGGAGCCUGGGCCCAGGACGCGGGAAGCAAGACACGGCCCUGAAGACCCCUGAAGACGCGGCGCCGCCCGCCAGCCCUGCACCUGCUGGAGACCAGGUCGGCGAGGGCCCGGGAGCGAGGCUGGCCCGGCUGCGCAGGAUCUCCAGCUCCCGGAAGACGUUGCGCACCUCGUCGCGCUCGAUGCACUGCUGCUUGUUCAUGUACUUCAUGGCGUACAUCUUCCCCGUGUCCCGCUUCUGCACGAUGCACACCUGGAGGGCAGGGCAUCUCAGCAGGAGGCCGGAGCCGCGCUCGCUGCCCCUCCCAGGGCAGGCCGGACCCCCACCUGAGAGCAGCCACGUGGGGGCCCGUGGGGGUGUGCCGGUGGUGCCCCUGCGCCUCGCCAGCCCUGGCCUGGGCAGGUGAGCUCCCCUCCCAUCACCCCACGGCUUAGAGCAGGCUUGGGGGGCUGCUGGAGAAUUAACAAGAGCCAGAGGAGGCCCCCGGGAAGCCCCAUAAACGAGAGCUGCUCUUCUCACGAGAAUAACAGAACUUCUGUGACGGUUCAGGCCCAGAGCCAACAUUCACUUCCCCACAGGGACCCCACGCCGGGAGAGGGUUCCCCAGAGUAAGCCCCCGGUGCACUGAGCUGCAGGUGCACCGCCGACUACUCAGCAGAGACGGGGCGUGCAAGGUGUGUGAUUAGAGGAGCAGGUGCUGGGGCCCUGGGGGCCAAAGGAAGGUCUGGAAGGAGCAGAAGCCGGGGUGUCUGGAGGAGUGGGAGAUUCUGGAACUCAGGGUGAGCCUGGGACCCUCCCAGGUGUCUCACCCAAAGGCAGCUGGGCCUGGAACUGACCAGACACCUCAACAGACAUCAGAGUCUCAGCCAAACCUGCUGGCUCCAGCCCUUUGGUGAAACCCACUCUCCAUGUCCUAGGAACGCAUCAAAGAAAAGGUGUCUAGGGCAAUGGCUGGGGCUCAACCAAUUGGGCUCCCAUCUACCAUAUAGGAGGUCCAGGGUUUGAUGCCCAGGGCCUCCUGGUGAGGGCAAGUUGACCUACACAGCGAGCUGGCCCACGCGGAGUGCCAGCCCACAGUGAAAUGCAACCCCGUGCAGGAGAGCCAGCCGAUGCAGAGAGUUGGCACAGCAAGAUAAUGCAACAAAAGACACAGAGGAGAGAAAGUAAGCAGGACAGGGAGUUGAGGUGGCAAAAGAGAGUAACUGCCUCUCUCCCACUCUAGAAGGUCCCAGGAUCAGUUCCCAGAGCCACCUGAUGAGAAUACAAGCAGACACAGAAAAACACACAGCGAAUAGACACAGAGUGCAGACAACAAGGGUAACGGGUGGGAGGGAAAUAAAUAAAAUAAAUCUUUAAAAAAGAAAUGGUGUCUGAAGAUGUUCACUGCAGUUUUACUUAGAGCAGCAGGACCAUAUCGUCUAAUGGCCUUAUGUACACAGAUCUGUAAACUCAACUGUCAAGCAGCUGAUGCAAAAA